AUUUACUACCUUCAUAGCCAUGGUGUUCCCUGAUGGCAGUGUCCUCUUUCAGCAGGAUAAUGCACUCUGCCACACUACAAAAAAUGCUCAAGAAUGGUUCGAGGAACAUAACAAAGAAUUUACAGUUUUGCCUUGGCCCCCUAAAUUCCCCAGAUCUCAAUCCGAUGUAUCAUCUUUGAAAUGUGCUGGAACAACAAAUCUGAUCCAUGGAGGCCACAACUC
Molecule: non-coding RNA, 222 nt
Organism: Pelobates cultripes (western spadefoot toad)
Lineage: Eukaryota; Metazoa; Chordata; Amphibia; Anura; Pelobatidae
Source: the annotation of a GenBank genome assembly